RNAcentral lists this ribosomal RNA (434 nucleotides) under uncultured bacterium. RNAcentral's name for it is "partial 16S ribosomal RNA". It matches the Rfam family "Bacterial small subunit ribosomal RNA", at positions 29 to 507 of the family's 1533-position model. The record is from RNAcentral.
AGCGAACGCUGGCGGCAGGCCUAACACAUGCAAGUCGAACGAACCUUUCGGGGUUAGUGGCGGACGGGUGAGUAACACGUGGGAACGUGCCUUUAGGUUCGGAAUCACUCAGGGAAACUUGUGCUAAUACCGAAUGUGCCCUUCGGGGGAAAGAGUUCUCGCCUUUAGGUCGGCCCGCGUCUGAUUAGCUGGUUGGGUAAGGUAAUGGCUCACCACGGCGACGAUCAGUAGCUGGGCUGAGAGGAGGAUCAGCCACAUUGGGACUGAGACACGGCCCAAACUCCUACGGGAGGCAGCAGUGGGGAAUCUUGCGCAAUGGGCGAAAGCCUGACGCAGCCAUGCCGCGUGAAUGAUGAAGGUCUUAGGAUUGUAAAAUUCUUUCACCGGGGACGAUAAUGACGGUACCCGGAGAAGAAGCCCCGGCUAACUUCGUG